Molecule: ribosomal RNA, 274 nt
Filed under: uncultured bacterium
Lineage: Bacteria
Description: partial 16S ribosomal RNA
Rfam family: Bacterial small subunit ribosomal RNA
Source: RNAcentral
AUACGGAGGGUGCAAGCGUUGUUCGGAAUUACUGGGCGUAAAGCGCGCGUAGGUGGUCUGUUAUGUCAGAUGUGAAAGUCCACGGCUCAACCGUGGAAGUGCAUUUGAAACUGGCAGACUUGAGUACUGGAGGGGGUAGUGGAAUUCCCGGUGUAGAGGUGAAAUUCGUAGAUAUCGGGAGGAAUACCGGUGGCGAAGGCGACUACCUGGCCAGAUACUGACACUGAGGUGCGAAAGCGUGGGGAGCGAACAGGAUUAGAAACCCUAGUAGUCC